AUGGCCUACGAAAAGCCCUAGGAAGGAGUCGAGCCUGAGAACAAUGAUCAUAUUAAUUUGAAGGGGGCGGGGCGGUUCUGGGGUGCACUUUAAGAGGUAUGCACCACUUAGUAAACUAAUUAAAGCCUAUUGUGAAUGACAGGGAUUGUCAAUGAGGCAGGUCAGAUUCUGAUUUGAUGGGCAACCCAUCAAUGAAAUAGAUAACACCUACACAGUUGGAGGAUGAAGAUACAAUCGAUAUGCUCCAACAGCAGACAGGAGGUGUUUCCUGA
This 272-nucleotide long non-coding RNA is filed under the name Homo sapiens (human). Its description in RNAcentral is "non-protein coding lnc-FAM8A1-1:1". Lineage: Eukaryota; Metazoa; Chordata; Mammalia; Primates; Hominidae. The record is from RNAcentral.